This 71-nucleotide transfer RNA is filed under the name Ovis aries (sheep). It matches the Rfam family "tRNA". Rfam says of the family: Transfer RNA (tRNA) molecules are approximately 80 nucleotides in length. Their secondary structure includes four short double-helical elements and three loops (D, anti-codon, and T loops). The record is from Rfam by way of RNAcentral. Lineage: Eukaryota; Metazoa; Chordata; Mammalia; Artiodactyla; Bovidae.
UCCCUGGUGGCUCAGUUGGUAAAGUAUCUGCCUGCAAUGCAGGAGACCCAGAUUCUAUCUGGGUCAGGCAG